Molecule: ribosomal RNA, 454 nt
Filed under: uncultured Prevotella sp.
Lineage: Bacteria; Pseudomonadati; Bacteroidota; Bacteroidia; Bacteroidales; Prevotellaceae
Description: partial 16S ribosomal RNA
Rfam family: Bacterial small subunit ribosomal RNA
Source: RNAcentral
ACGGGAGGCAGCAGUGAGGAAUAUUGGUCAAUGGUCGGAAGACUGAACCAGCCAAGUAGCGUGAAGGAAGACUGCCCUACGGGUUGUAAACUGCUUUUGUACGGGAAUAAAGUGACCCACGUGUGGGUUUUUGCAUGUACCGUAAGAAUAAGGACCGGCUAAUUCCGUGCCAGCAGCCGCGGUAAUACGGAAGGUCCGGGCGUUAUCCGGAUUUAUUGGGUUUAAAGGGAGCGUAGGCCGUGCUUUAAGCGUGUUGUGAAAUGUAGGCGCCCAACGUCUGCACUGCAGCGCGAACUGGAGCACUUGAGUACGCAGGAAGUAGGCGGAAUUCGUCGUGUAGCGGUGAAAUGCUUAGAUAUGACGAAGAACUCCGAUUGGGAAGCCAGCUUACUGUAGCGCCACUGACGUUGAGGCUCGAAAGUGUGGGUAGCAAACAGGAUUAGAUACCCUGGUA